ACAUAUCAUAGCGGAAGAAAGAAACCACAGGAUUGCCUCAGUAACGGCGAGUGAAGCGGCAAGAGCUCAAAUUUGAAAGCUGGCUCCUUCGGGGUCCGCAUUGUAUUUUGCAGAGGAUGCUUCGGGAGCAGCCCCCAUCUAAGUGCCCUGGAACGGGCCGUCAUAGAGGGUGAAAAUCCCGUAUGGGAUGGGGUGUCUGCGCCCAUGUGAAGCUCCUUCGACGAGUCGAGUUGUUUGGGAAUGCAGCUCUAAAUGGGUGGUAAAUUUCAUCUAAAGCUAAAUAUUGGCCGGAGACCGAUAGCGCACAAGUAGAGUGAUCGAAAGAUGAAAAGCACUUUGAAAAGAGAGUUAAAAAGCACGUGAAAUUGUUGAAAGGGAAGCGCUUGCGAUCAGACUCGCCUUGGGGGUUCAGCCGGCAUUCGUGCCGGUGUACUUCCCCCAGGGCGGGCCAGCGUCGGUUUGGGUGGCCGGUCAAAGGCCCUUGGAAUGUAACGCCUCUCGGGGCGUCUUAUAGCCAAGGGUGCCAUGCGGCCUACCUGGACCGAGGAACGCGCUUCGGCUCGGACGCUGGCAUAAUGGUCGUAAGCGACCCGUCUUGAAACACGGACCAAGGAGUCUAACAUCUACGCGAGUGUUCGGGUGUCAAACCCGUGCGCGCAGUGAAAGCGAACGGAGGUGGGAACCCUUUGGGUGCACCAUCGACCGAUCCUGAUGUCUUCGGAUGGAUUUGAGUAAGAGCGUAGCUGUUGGGACCGAAAGAUGGUGAACUAUGCCUGAAUAGGCGAAGCCAGAGAAACUCUGGUGGAGGCUCGCAGCGGUUCUGACGUGCAAAUCGAUCGUCGAAUUUGGUAUAGGGCGAAAGACUAUCGACAUCUAGUAGUGGUCUGCG
Molecule: ribosomal RNA, 889 nt
Filed under: Penicillium fuscum
Lineage: Eukaryota; Fungi; Ascomycota; Eurotiomycetes; Eurotiales; Aspergillaceae
Description: LSU rRNA
Rfam family: Eukaryotic large subunit ribosomal RNA
Source: RNAcentral